Molecule: long non-coding RNA, 1117 nt
Filed under: Serinus canaria (Common canary)
Lineage: Eukaryota; Metazoa; Chordata; Aves; Passeriformes; Fringillidae
Description: lncRNA (ENSSCAG00000008282.1)
Source: RNAcentral
CCAAUUCAGAGCCCACUUCCCAGGGGGAUAGUUUUUUCUUUUUUUUUUGAAGUUUAAGUGUCCUUAACCAACGCUCUGCCGGUUUGUUAAUCAAAAAGCCGGUUCACACCGCACGUAAUCGAGAAGUAAUAUCGAAGUAAGUAAAGGCAGAGCGAGCCGGGGAUGCUGAGCGAAGGCGUUCGGCUGCAGAGGGGGCAGACCCGGCUGAGGCUCCAGCCGCUCAUGCCCAGCUCCCAGCACAGCCCACAGCCGUUCCUUCCUCCUGAAGGAGCUCGAAAUAGUCUCACUGCAAAGAGAAACUUCGCGUCUUGCCCACUCGCACGGUCCUUUCCCAAGGUUUUCUCACAUGGAAACGCUGCAAGUUGAUAUGAGGGUGGCCUGAUCCUGAUGCAGACCUGCCUGGUUAAAGCCACAGGAGAAGCAGUCCUGCCUCCAGCUCCUCCAUGGGUUUCCUUUGUCCACCAAAUCCUAUUGUGAUGAAGACAAACCCCUCGGAGAUAACCCCGUGUUCCCAUCACUGUGAGGAUCUGUAGGGCCAGAUCCUGCUGCCAGGGACAAACCCUGCCAUGAGAAAGGGGUUGUGCAGGGAGAGACCUGCCUGUGAUCCCCAGGCACCCAGCUCUGACUGGGAGGGGGGGUGAGCAGCCACCAAGGGGGGCUUUGGGGCACAGGCCCUGCAGGACCUGAGCCUUCUGCUGAGACCUUCUGCCGUGGUGGCUUUAUGGGGAUGUGGUGGCAUGGGCUGAGGGGAUGAUUCACUGCCUUAUUUAUUUUGGUGUGUUUGCUUUUUCCCUGGCGGAGGAUGAGUAACGGGGACUGUGUUUUCUUGCCCACCACGUGGAAGGAGGAAAACUGAGGGAAUAGGAGCAAAGAUGUUCUGGCUGAGGAAUUUUGGCUAAUACAUUUUAGAGGCUGGUGAAGACAGAGGUUUAACACCUCUAAAUACACUUCAGCAGCUCUAAGGCUUUUCCUUCGUAUCUUUCAUAGCCAGAACUUUUGACUGUUUUCCCUAAAGUGUGGAACCCUUCCUACAUCAGGGAUUAAACAUCCCCAUGUAGAGGAUCCAGAUGAGAUGUGCCCACUUGCAGCCAAGCCUGGGGAGAGCAUCCCUCCCUCC